RNAcentral lists this ribosomal RNA (468 nucleotides) under uncultured bacterium. RNAcentral describes it as "partial 16S ribosomal RNA". It matches the Rfam family "Bacterial small subunit ribosomal RNA", at positions 28 to 507 of the family's 1533-position model. The record is from RNAcentral.
GACGAACGCUGGCGGCGUGCUUAACACAUGCAAGUCGAACGGAAAGGCCCUGCUUUUUUGGGGUGCUCGAGUGGCGAACGGGUGAGUAACACGUGAGUAACCUGCCCUUGACUUUGGGAUAACUUCAGGAAACUGGGGCUAAUACCGGAUAGGAGCUCCUGCUGCAUGGUGGGGGUUGGAAAGUUUCGGCGGUUGGGGAUGGACUCGCGGCUUAUCAGCUUGUUGGUGGGGUAGUGGCUUACCAAGGCUUUGACGGGUAGCCGGCCUGAGAGGGUGACCGGCCACAUUGGGACUGAGAUACGGCACAGACUACUACGGGAGGCAGCAGUGGGGAAUAUUGCACAAUGGGAGGAAGCAUGAUGCAGCAACGCCGCGUGCGGGAUGACGGCCUUCGGGUUGUAAACCGCUUUCGCCUGUGACGAAGCGUGAGUGACGGUAAUGGGUAAAGAAGCACCGGCUAACUACGUG